Dicentrarchus labrax (European seabass) is the source of this 743-nucleotide long non-coding RNA. RefSeq lists it as uncharacterized. The record is from RefSeq and is a predicted model, not a curated record. The transcript is spliced from 2 exons. NCBI's taxonomy places the organism in Eukaryota, Metazoa, Chordata, Actinopteri, Moronidae.
GCCCAGCAGUGGUUGGUCUAAUGUUUGCAACAUGGCUGCCUCGUGCUCUCAAAAGCCUUUUCCAUCAGUGCCAGCGAGAAAGAUUUAAACCUACAGCGAGGGGUAUGAAAAAUCUUGCGACACAGGCUCUAUGCUGACAGAGUGGCAGGCAGGCACCACUUCCUUUUACUGCCUUCCUCUGGUCACACCUUCUUUGUAACAUUGUGGUUCUCUUUACAAGAAAUUCUUACCAAAGACGAGGACAAAAAACGAUCACAUGCCCUGAGCAGCUGAUCUCUGUUUCCUGUAUCUGCAUGUCAGCCAAAAUACUGCCAUAUACAGAAACACUGAGAAGAGGCCCAAGCAAACCAGUUCAAGGACUUGAGGGCUUUGUCUUCAGAUUGAACAUAAAGCUGACAGGAACAGAGUCAGAAGUUUGGCUGGAGUCCAAGCUGACCUCGUUGCUCUGUGCAAAUAUCUGCCACUAGAUGGCGAUGGAGACCACUACACACUGGAUGGAUACUGUAAAAACCCAGAGGGUCAUGUACAGUAAGGAGAGCCCUUGUGGAACAGUCCACUGUGAGGCUUUUCAUGCACCUUUGAUGACAGCGCAGGCAAAGUGGAGGCUGGACAACAGUUUGAGUGGAAUGGCAACAGCCCCUGUGUUCAGUGUGUGAUGUUUAUGAGCUGAAUGAUUAAAAUGAAUACAUGUCAAGGAAAUAAAUGCAUUAAAACCAAAAAUAAAACCCUGGUUUUCCCCAAAA